Molecule: long non-coding RNA, 4058 nt
Organism: Brassica rapa (field mustard)
Lineage: Eukaryota; Viridiplantae; Streptophyta; Magnoliopsida; Brassicales; Brassicaceae
Source: RefSeq, a predicted model, not a curated record
UAUAAUAUAAAAUAUAAUAUAAUAGAUAUAUUUUAGUAUUUCUAUUAUUUCAGUUUACAAUGUUUAUUUUUAUUUUUAUUUUUGUAUUUAUAUUGUUUUUUUUUAAAGAAAAACAAUUUACCCUUCCGCAACCGUUUGCAACCGCAAACGCUAGUUGAAACCAGCUUUUGAAUUUAAGAGGUUAAGAAGGAUUUAAAAUGGUAGAACGGUUUGAGUGAUUGUUGCAAAACACCAACAACCGUUACAAACCGCAAAAAUUGCGUUUACGGGUGGUAGCGGAGAAAUCAGUCAUCUCCUAAGUUGUCUCUGCCCACUUAAAAUCAGGUAUAGUUAAAUAAUAUACAUAUAUGCCUUUUGAGAACAUUAAAAAAAAUACCAAAAGUUGAGUUUGCCCAGUAAGAAAAGAGUUGCAGCUGUAAUUUCGGUUGGAAUAAACUAUUUACAAUGCUUAAAUUUUCGGCAAACAUAUGAAAUUACUUCUUUUCAUUAAAAAAGGAAUAUUAAAAAGAUCAUUAUCCGACUUGUGAUCAUUCUGAAAAUAAGAGGAACAAAUAGGAAAGGAACGAAGAGAAAUAAAAUGGUAGAAAUAAAAAAAAAUGAUUGUUUUAUCCCAUAUUUAACAAGGAAUAACUUUAUUCUUUAUUUCUCUACAAAAAAAAGAAUGGUAAAAAAUAAUAAGAAAAAAUUAUUUCUUAUAAAUAGUAAUUUUUUUAAGAAUAUUAGAGAAUGCAUUAUUCCUCGUUAUUCCUUGGCAUGUCUCGGUUCGUUUCCAAAAAGUACGACGUACUUUAAUUUUUCAUUUUGACUUUGCACUGAUGUAAGUUAUCUUUUACCUUCGAUUCCUCUCUUCACAUUAUUAUUAUUUUUUCCGCAUUAUAUAUUCGUAAUCUUUCUUUAUCUUAUAAUCUUUCAUUGUUGUUAAAGUAAUACGGAAACAUAAAUAUUUGUAUGCUUUAAGAAAAAUAUAUAUGAAUGCAUGAACAUAGUGUGGUCGGAAGGUAUCAACAAACAACUGCAACUUUUAAAUGGAAACACAACAAACAGAUUUAUCGACGGUUUAGAAACAAUUGACUCCUUCGUAACUUACAUAGAAACGUAUACCUUAAACAGUCAUUAAACAUUUAACUUGGUGCAUUUUUUUGGUAAAAUUAACUUAGUGGAUUUACUUUUUGGUCCUCAAGCUUCUCACUCAAGUCAUCACUUACAACUUUUGGCCUGAACGAUGUCUCCUUAAACCAAGAAGACUUCUUUAGGGUGGUUGACCGGGGGCUACGCAUUAGACUGCUGUCCCCCUUUUCUAGUGUCUGCUACCUUUCCUUCUUUGUUCGAAUUGUAUUUUUGGUUCUUUUUUCAUUUUAGUUAAUGCUCCAAAUCCUCUUUUAUUUUCUGUUUGUAAUAAAUUAUACUCCACAACAUUGUAAAUUUUUUUUUUGAAGUGAUAUAAAUUCUAACAUUUAGAUCAAAAAAAAACUUAGCAGAUUACUCGGUCAAGAACAUAUCUUAUUCCGACCGUCCCUUAUAAAACAUAAUUUUCAUAAUAAUCACUCAAUUAUUAGUGUAAGAUAUACACCAAAUACAUGUAGUUUUCAAAGAUGUAUUUACUAUUUAAACAGGAAAUCCAUGUCCUCGUAGUAAUGACUAAUGAGCCAAAAUACCCAUCCGUUUCAUUAAAACAGAAGUUUUAGAUAAAAAAUUUAUUUAACAAAAAUUUUUUUUUUUAUGUUUUCUAUAAAAAAUUGCAAAUUUCAAUAAAAUUAGUUAGAUUUAUUGAAAAACUAUUGGUUAAAAACAUUAAAAUUUGAUAAUUUCAAAAAACAAUGCAUAAUUAAUGUAUUUUCUUAAUAUAUGUGAAAACACCAAAACAUUCAAGAAAUGAGGAGUAUUGUUUUGUCCCCAAAAUUUAAAACAAUUUUUCUUUUUUUUCGUUAUGUAAUUGGGUCCCUUUAGAAUUUGACAUUUUAUUAUUAUGAGUGAGCUUAUGCCGCUCAUCGGUCAUCAUCCAGUUAAUAGUUUCCGUUUUCUUCUUCGUUUUUAAAUACUGACUGCGACUAGAGCCUAGAGACACCUAAUUUAUUGAAUAACUCAACUAUGGUUACUUUAACUGGAUGUGUAUCGUUUUAUUUAGUGUCCAAUUUGAGUUCGAAACUGGUUAGUCCAGCUAUUUCAAUACUUCAACAUGUGAUUAACUUCUUUUUUUUUGAUAAUCCCUGCAAUGUAAACUGUAUUUAGAUAAACUUUGUUUCAUUAUUGAGAGGUUUGAGCUCGAAUAUGAAUACUUGAUUCUACUAUAUAGUAACAAUACUUCUCGAUCGGAAAAUUUAUCUUGAUUUUAUAUUUACAAAUAAAAAAGUUUACAUUUAAAAAAGUAAACCUAUUGCAGGUCAUGUGGUAAGCAACACUUGCUGUAUUUCAAAAUUUUAAUCUCGCAGAUACAAUCAUAUCAAUAUACAUCUUAAUAAUCUUAGUAUCAAACGUAUGUUAAUUCACUUUUCAAAGGCACAUGUUUAGUUUUCAUAAAAAUGUUUAUAAACUUCUUAAAAUCUAACAAUACUAAAAGCAGGAUAUCAAGCAUUCUAAACGCAUCCACGUCACCUUAAAAAAUUAACCAAUCAUAACAUUUUAUUUUGACACGUCAUCGUGGACUGUUAAAAUUAUAAUUUGGCCCACCAAACCUAUGUCGACAAAUCCUGUUUCGUAAUCCUGACUUUUCCACUCCGUCUUCUCCAAUCUCCUUUUUCUGCUCAAUCAAUGACAAUCUUUAUACUCAUUUUGGAUGUUUUGUUCCACCUCUCCUUGAUCCUCUUCCUAUAUAUAGUGGUACGUCUAAACCUAAAUACAUCCAGAAUCAAAAAACCUAACGAGAAUCGUAAGAGGGAUGGCUCCGGCUGAGACCACUGUCGUACCGCUCCGGCUCCACUUUCAGGAGCUAUUUAUUACGGCAUUCAACAAAAUUUUCCCACUACUUGAUCUUCGAUUCAACUUCCCUAGCUUCUACACCACUUUCACAAGGUGUAUAUAUACACCAACAACGAGUCAUCCCAUUCCCCACAUAUUUUUGUCUCGCACUUUCACUUUUGUCCAUUAAAGGAUCAACUAUCCCCAGAGAUUAAAAAUCUCAGAGCUUCACAAAUCUAUCAAGAGUUAAGAUUUCAUCAAUGGAAGAAGUAUCUCCGGCGGUUGCUUUGCUUUCCCAGAAACCCAUAUGGAAUUCGCAGGGAUCAUGGGAAUCAUGUUGGGUAAAGGCUACUGCUACAUCCAAUACUCAACUAAAGAUUCCCACAGCUUCGAUUCGUUUCCGUAAACUUCGUGUUCUGUUUCUGGGUCUCAUGUAGCUCAAUAUAUAAAAGUUUUGUUCUCUCGGAUCAAUUCACCCAACUUAAUCAUCAUCAUCAGAGAUAGUCGCUGAUAUCGCUACCGGAUAAGAGAUUAACGGCUCAGACGAGAGAACGACGUUUGAGAAGAAUAUGAUCAGCGAACAGAGAGCAGGAGUCUGUUUGACUUCAAGAGUGUGCCUUUGAAGGGUGUGACAUCGAUCAGUGGAAGAUGAUGUCUCCGAUAUACCCAGAAUCCUUCAGUCUCCAACUAAUUCGUUAAUACAUGGUCGUUUCAAUCCUCAAUCAACUGCUCAUUUCUUCGGUGUCUUCAACAGACCUGGAGGAUCACAGGACGAACUAAUGCAGAGAGAGGAAAAGCUAGGAAUAAGUACAUUAAGGAGAGUUUUGACAUUGGGGUCCAUGUCCAGAGAUCAGAAACUAAUACAUGGACUUUAACAAUACAUAUAUUUCAGGGAAGCGAGCCCGGCAAGUUAGGAAGCGUUUGCGACAAAAAGCAACAAACACGAGUCACCAAGGCAUGUUUCUUAUGGAAUACUUCUUCAAAACCAUUUGAGAACAACCAUAAUCCCUGCACUGCGUCACUAUUUGUUUUUCUGUUAAGCAGCAGUGUAGUCUCAUUCUCUCUUCCUUCAUGUCUUCAUCUUUGCUUGCUUCAGCUCUUCUUCUCCAUUUGCUGCUGCUACUUUGUAUUUGCAUAUCAAGAAAAAAAGCAAUCUCCAAAUC